GUAAACGCAUAACAAUACGCACAUUAAAAUUCAGUCCAAGAGAUGUCCGAGUCUGAUGUCAGAAGAUGUAACCAAAGAAAAUAAACAAAAUGACAAUAAUACAUAUAUAACAACAGACUACUAGCAGUUAACUGACAUGCCAGCUCCAGACUUCAAUUAAACUGACUGAAAGAUUAUGAUGUCAUCAUAUGAACAUCAGGCACA
Molecule: long non-coding RNA, 204 nt
Filed under: Mytilus galloprovincialis (Mediterranean mussel)
Lineage: Eukaryota; Metazoa; Mollusca; Bivalvia; Mytilida; Mytilidae
Source: RNAcentral